This 75-nucleotide transfer RNA is filed under the name bacterium. Its description in RNAcentral is "tRNA-Arg". It matches the Rfam family "tRNA". From Rfam's summary of the family: Transfer RNA (tRNA) molecules are approximately 80 nucleotides in length. Their secondary structure includes four short double-helical elements and three loops (D, anti-codon, and T loops). Further hydrogen bonds mediate the characteristic L-shaped molecular structure. tRNAs have two regions of fundamental functional importance: the anti-codon, which is responsible for specific mRNA codon recognition, and the 3' end, to which the tRNAs corresponding amino acid is attached (by aminoacyl-tRNA synthetases). tRNAs cope with the degeneracy of the genetic code in two manners: having more than one tRNA (with a specific anti-codon) for a particular amino acid; and 'wobble' base-pairing, i.e. permitting non-standard base-pairing at the 3rd anti-codon position. The record is from RNAcentral.
GACCCCAUAGUUUAACGGAUAAAACAAGAACCUCCUAAGUUCUAGAUUCAGGUUCGAUUCCUGGUGGGGUCACCA